This 253-nucleotide ribosomal RNA is filed under the name uncultured bacterium. Its description in RNAcentral is "partial 16S ribosomal RNA". It matches the Rfam family "Bacterial small subunit ribosomal RNA", at positions 524 to 776 of the family's 1533-position model. The record is from RNAcentral.
UACGUAGGGUGCAAGCGUUAAUCGGAAUUACCGGGCGUAAAGCGUGCGCAGGCGGCUUUGCAAGACAGAUGUGAAAUCCCCGGGCUUAACCUGGGAACUGCAUUUGUGACUACAUGGCUGGAGUGCGGCAGAGGGGGAUGGAAUUCCGCGUGUAGCAGUGAAAUGCGUAGAUAUGCGGAGGAACACCGAUGGCGAAGGCAAUCCCCUGGGCCUGCACUGACGCUCAUGCACGAAAGCGUGGGGAGCAAACAGG